AGCCUUGCUCCACCGGAAAAAGAGGAGUUGGCGAACGGGUGAGUAACACGUGGGUAACCUGCCCAUCAGAAGGGGAUAACACUUGGAAACAGGUGCUAAUACCGUAUAACAAUCGAAACCGCAUGGUUUUGAUUUGAAAGGCGCUUUCGGGUGUCGCUGAUGGAUGGACCCGCGGUGCAUUAGCUAGUUGGUGAGGUAACGGCUCACCAAGGCGACGAUGCAUAGCCGACCUGAGAGGGUGAUCGGCCACAUUGGGACUGAGACACGGUCCAAACUCCUACGGGAGGCAGCAAUAGGGAAUCUUCGGCAAUGGACGAAAGUCUGACCGACAACGCCGCGUGAG
This 343-nucleotide ribosomal RNA is filed under the name Enterococcus faecalis. RNAcentral's name for it is "bacterial SSU rRNA". It matches the Rfam family "Bacterial small subunit ribosomal RNA", at positions 60 to 405 of the family's 1533-position model. The record is from RNAcentral. Lineage: Bacteria; Bacillati; Bacillota; Bacilli; Lactobacillales; Enterococcaceae.